UAUUUUAUUUCUGCUUAUAAAUAAUGGGUCAUAUAAUUAUAAAUUAUAAAAUAUAAAUUUUACAAUCUUCUAUUUUACUCAGUGUGGAUUUUUUUUUUCCAGUCAAGAUUCUUCUGUUGUUCAUAUAAUCUCACCUUUUUUUAAAAAAAAAAUCAUGAGUAUGAAUUUUUGGCCUGCACGUGUAUGUAUAUGUGUGUGUGUAUAUAUAUGUGUGUCCAUGUACUGCUUAUAUGCCAGUACCUGCAAAAGUCAGAAAAGGACUUCAGAACCCCUUGAACUGAAGUUAUGGAUGGCUUUGAACCACCAUGUGAGUGCUUAGAAUUGAACCCUAGUCCUCUGCAAGAGCAACAAGUGCUCUUAGCUACUGAGCCAUCCCUCCAGCCUUUCUAUUGGCUGGGAACAAUGGUUGUGAAGGGUUCUUCCUAGCCAACAGUUUAGCUCUUGCAUGCUUCUUACAUUUUCUGUCAUGUUUACUUUUAAUUUGCAGUGUUAGAGUAAUUUUGGGGUUGUUUGUUUGGAGGUUGUUCUAAAGCUUUGCUUCUCCUUUUUCCUUACAUGUCCUAAAUUUACAUUGCCCAGCAUUGGCAACAGUGCCAGGACCAAUUCACGUGUCACAUGUGGGACAGUGCAGAUAUGUUACACCUCAGUUGCAGAAAACUGAACUCGGAAGGACAAGACGAAACAUCCCCGAAUUUCAGAGUCACUGUCUUGUCUCUACUCAGAUGAGCCCUUCAUUUUUCUGGCACCAUUUUGUCUGCUUCUAUAAACUUGGGUUCCCUUACACAGUUACUCCAAAUUAUCACUGUUCUAUCAAACUUCCUUCUUCUCUACUAGUAAAUGACCUUUCUCCUACUGCACAGAGGAAACAGAGGUUACAGCAGGAACCCCCCCCCCCAUAACUUCCUGUUCUUAGACCUAUUUUUGUACCUCUCUUUGCCUCCUUUGUUUCUUGCCUCAAAGAUAAGUCCAUUUGGUGUUUCUUCAUUUGUACAAAUAUUUCUUGGGUUGUAGGAGGAUGAGGACAAGAGUGAAGGUGGGCGGGGUGAGAUUUGUAGACUCAGAGAGCUGUCGUGAGACAGCUGAGCAGGGGAGGAAGGAAGGGCACGAGCCCUCAGGCAUGGCGAUCUGAGCCUGGCCCGCAGGACCGAGCUGACCCUUACGUUGUUCCGUGUCGUCUACAUGCGGGCACAGUAAGUAAGGCCUACACGGGGCUCCAAAUCAUCAACUAGAACAGAAAAUGGAAAGGCCGUAAAGUAAGCUCACUCUAAAAAUUGGAGGCUCCAGAGAUUAAUCGAUGUUAACAGUGAUAAGGUACUCAAGUGGAGCUUAACAGGCUACAAUACAGUUUUGGUUCUGACAAGUUUGGAUUGGAAGCCUCUAGAAGGUUUGACCAGAAUUUGAGUGAUGUGAUUUUCUUUCCCUUAAUUUUAUUUUAUUCUGUUUAUGUUUAUGAGUGUUGUAUCUGGGAGUAUGUUUGCACACCAGAAGAGGGCAUCAUAUCCCAUCAGACUGCAGUUACAGACAGGUGUGAGCUACCAUGUGGGUGCUGGGAAUUGAAUUCAGGACUUGGAAGAGCAGCUAGCACUCUUAACUGACAAGCUAUCUUUUCAUCUUCAGCUCCCAACAGGGAGUCAUUUCAUGACCAGUAUUGUUUCAUUUGUAGUCAUCCUUCAUUUUAAAGAAUUUAAGAUUUAAUUUUACUUUUUGCUUUGCAUGUUUUGCCUGCUUGUGUGUAUGUGUGCCAUAUGUGUGCCUGGUGCCUUUGGAGGUCAGAAAAGGGCUUUGGGUUUUCUGGAACAGGAGUUACCAGAUGGUCAUGAGCACCAUUUGAUAUUGGGAAACAAACUCAGGUCGUCUACAAGAACAAGUACCCUUCCAGCUGAUACACACACACACACACACACACACACACACACACACACUCAUCCCCAUUGUUUUGUAUAUUCAUUGAGACUAAGUAUUAUGUAUCCCUAGAAUAUCUUUGUAAUUGACUACAUGCUAAAGCUCGCCUUGAAUUUAUGAUCCUCUGAGCCCCUGGACCUCAAUUUUAGAAUUUUUUUUUUUAAUUUUGAUACAUGUACAUCAUCCCCCUUUCCUUUUUCUCUCUCCAAUCUCUCCCAUAUUACAUGCUGCACCCACUGCAAAAUCCAUGGCCUCUUUUCCUUUUACACACAUACAUAUACACCUACAAAAAUACUCUAAAAUAAAUAAACACAACCUGUUUAGUCUAAUGUUACUGGUUUUUUUAUGGUUUCUGGGCUAACUGGUUGUUAUUGGAUAGCCACCUGGGAUAGUUGGAUAGUGGAUAGUCAACUUCUUCCCUGCAGAAGACCAUUUUCCCCAUGCAACAUUCCAUAGUUGUCCAUAGAGCUCAUGUUAGGGCCCCAUGAGUUUGGUCAUUCCCUGUGAGCACGUUCUGAUGGUGUUGUCAAUGUUUAGGUUGUCAUCUUGAUGAGUCUUCAUGGGUGUAGCUUCUCUGAUGUCCCUAGGACAUACAAUCUCAUACCAAACUUCCGGUUCCUCUGGCUCUUACAAUCUUAAUGUAUGCUCUUCCACUCGUGUGUUGUUAUAAAGGAAGUCCCAUGUGCCAUAUGUCACCUGUUUUUAUUUUUUUGUACAUGUGUAUACAUGUAAAUAAUAAAAUAGCUAAUCUCUUCAUUACUUGCAUUUGUCGGUUUCUCCCUUGUAGUUUUUAUAUUAAGUGGCUUCCCAAUUUGGUUGCUUGCUAUUUUACAACCUACCCUAGAUGGUGUCAGGUUUCAACUUUUUCUGUGCUCUGAAUCAAGUUCUAUACAAAAACCUCAUGUCUACUAUUAGAUAAUUAUUUAUUUAGCCAUUUAUAUAUUCUGAGUACUUCCAAGAUAAAUUCCUGUCCUCAUAGAGCUUAAGUUUUACAGGAGGUAUGGUGGAUAAUGAAACAAUAAGCAAACUCUGUCAUAAUAAACAUUUUAAUAACAUCUAUUUUAUUUAAUAACAAAAUAAAAAUUGAGUAAUUUUAAAGCCAUUAGAAUUGAGAGGGAGGGGGCUGCACUUUUAAUCCCAGCACACCUGAGGCAGAAGCAGGCAGAUCUUUGUGAGUUUGAGGCCUGCCUGGUCUACAGAGUGAGUUCCAGGACAGCCAGGGCUACACAGAGAAACCCUGUUUCAAAGAAACCAACCCUACCUCCAAAAAAACAAAACAAAACAACAACAG
RNAcentral lists this long non-coding RNA (3193 nucleotides) under Mus musculus (house mouse). RNAcentral's name for it is "long non-coding RNA chr10:67204242-67207435". The record is from RNAcentral. Lineage: Eukaryota; Metazoa; Chordata; Mammalia; Rodentia; Muridae.